CAGGAACACAGCCAGACACAGGCAGCCCACAGACACCACAUCAGAUCCACUUCAGCCGCCACCCAGGCAGUAUCAUCAGUGAAAAUAAUCCUGUUCCAUAAAUGGGCAGGCACCCGGAGGAAUCGAUCAUGGCCUUGUUUGACAUUCUGUUAAAUCACAAGUACAUCUGCUUUUGAGGUGUAGCAGAAAUUAAAAUUAACCAUUAAUAGUGUCCAGCAAAUGUCAUCAACAACCACUAACAUGAAACAAAUCGAAGAGUCAGUCCCAUCACAGGAAGCAAAGUAGCUGACACCACAUUGCCAAAGGCUUGGCAUUUCCUCUAUUAAAACAAACAUUUUUUUUCUGCAGUGACCCUUCUGUGUUUUAUAUUCAGAGGUUCCAUACUGUGACUAAAGAAGAUUAUGCAGCAUUCCAGUAUUGCUUCCUGAAAGAAAUGUAAUUAAGAUAAAUUAGUUGAGUUUAAUAUAAUAGCGGUUGAGUUAAAAUGAAGGGUGCAGAACACAUUUUUCAGCAACAAUGCGCAUACAAUGCCUGAAAAAUAACAUUUGAUGUUCAAUAUUUUGCUGUUAAUAGUACUUUAAUAAUCU
Molecule: long non-coding RNA, 587 nt
Organism: Chiloscyllium plagiosum (whitespotted bambooshark)
Lineage: Eukaryota; Metazoa; Chordata; Chondrichthyes; Orectolobiformes; Hemiscylliidae
Source: RefSeq, a predicted model, not a curated record